Molecule: ribosomal RNA, 510 nt
Filed under: uncultured bacterium
Lineage: Bacteria
Description: partial 16S ribosomal RNA
Rfam family: Bacterial small subunit ribosomal RNA
Source: RNAcentral
GACGAACGCUGGCGCCGUGCUUAACACAUGCAAGUCGAACGAAGAGCGAUGGAAGCUUGCUUCUAUCAAUCUUAGUGGCGAACGGGUGAGUAACGCGUAAUCAACCUGCCCUUCAGAGGGGGACAACAGUUGGAAACGACUGCUAAUACCGCAUACGAUCUAAUCUCGGCAUCGAGGAUAGAUGAAAGGUGGCCUCUACAUGUAAGCUAUCACUGAAGGAGGGGAUUGCGUCUGAUUAGCUAGUUGGAGGGGUAACGGCCCACCAAGGCGAUGAUCAGUAGCCGGUCUGAGAGGAUGAACGGCCACAUUGGGACUGAGACACGGCCCAGACUCCUACGGGAGGCAGCAGUGGGGAAUCUUCCGUAAUGGACGAAAGUCUGACGGAGCAACGCCGCGUGAGUGAUGACGGCCUUCGGGUUGUAAAGCUCUGUUAAUCGGGACGAAAGGCCUUCUUGCGAAUAGUGAGAAGGAUUGACGGUACCGGAAGAGAAAGCCACGGCUAACUACGUG